RNAcentral lists this ribosomal RNA (254 nucleotides) under uncultured bacterium. RNAcentral's name for it is "partial 16S ribosomal RNA". It matches the Rfam family "Bacterial small subunit ribosomal RNA", at positions 524 to 776 of the family's 1533-position model. The record is from RNAcentral.
GACGUAGGGCGCGAGCGUUGUCCGGAUUUAUUGGGCGUAAAGAGCUCGUAGGCGGCUUGUCGCGUCGUUUCGUGAAAACCCGGGGCUCAACCCCGGGCCUGCAUUCGAUACGGGCAGACUAGAGUUCGGUAGGGGAGUCUGGAAUUCCUGGUGUAGCGGUGAAAUGCGCAGAUAUCAGGAGGAACACCGGUGGCGAAGGCGAGUCUCUGGACGACUCCUGACACUGAGGCACGAAAGCUAGGGGAGCAAACAGG